GAUGAACGCUGACAGAAUGCUUAACACAUGCAAGUCUUUGGCGAAGCUGUGCUUGCACCGCCUAGCCAAGGCGGACGGGUGAGUAACGCGUAAGGAACUUGCCCUGCAGUCAGGGAUAACAGACGGAAACGACUGAUAAGACCUGGUAAAGUCAGGCGGACUCAUGUCCAGCCUGAUGAAAAGAGAUGCUGCAGGAGAGCCUUGCGUCCUAUUAGCUUGUUGGUGGGGUAACGGCCCACCAAGGCGAUGAUAGGUAGCCGGCCUGAGAGGGUGGACGGCCACAAGGGGACUGAGAUACGGCCCUUACUCCUACGGGAGGCAGCAGUGGGGAAUAUUGGACAAUGGGAGCAACCCUGAUCCAGCAAUUCUGUGUGCACGAUGAAGGUUUUCGGAUUGUAAAGUGCUUUCAGCAGGGAAGAAAAAAUGACGGUACCUGCAGAAGAAGCGACGGCUAAAUACGUG
RNAcentral lists this ribosomal RNA (462 nucleotides) under uncultured bacterium. RNAcentral's name for it is "partial 16S ribosomal RNA". It matches the Rfam family "Bacterial small subunit ribosomal RNA", at positions 28 to 507 of the family's 1533-position model. The record is from RNAcentral.